This 83-nucleotide transfer RNA is filed under the name Canis lupus familiaris (dog). It matches the Rfam family "tRNA". Rfam says of the family: Transfer RNA (tRNA) molecules are approximately 80 nucleotides in length. Lineage: Eukaryota; Metazoa; Chordata; Mammalia; Carnivora; Canidae. RNAcentral also lists the same sequence under 1 other name. The record is from Rfam by way of RNAcentral.
GCCUGGGUGGCUCAGUGUUUGAGCACCUGCCUUCGGCUCAGGAAGUGAUCCCAGAGUCCUGGGCUCAAGUCCCACAUCAGGCU